GAUGAACGCUGGCGGCGUGCCUAAUACAUGCAAGUCGAGCGAACAGAUAAGGAGCUUGCUCCUUUGACGUUAGCGGCGGACGGGUGAGUAACACGUGGGUAACCUACCUAUAAGACUGGGAUAACUUCGGGAAACCGGAGCUAAUACCGGAUAACAUUUGGAACCGCAUGGUUCUAAAGUGAAAGAUGGUUUUGCUAUCACUUAUAGAUGGACCCGCGCCGUAUUAGCUAGUUGGUAAGGUAACGGCUUACCAAGGCGACGAUACGUAGCCGACCUGAGAGGGUGAUCGGCCACACUGGAACGGAGACACGGUCCAGACUCCUAAGGGAGGCAGCAGUAGGGAAUCUUCCGCAAUGGGCGAAAGCCUGACGGAGCAACGCCGCGUGAGUGAUGAAGGGGUUCGGCUCGUAAAACUCUGUUAUUAGGGAAGAACAAAUGUGUAAGUAACUGUGCACGUCUUGACGGUACCUAAUCAGAAAGCCACGGCUAACUACGUG
This 497-nucleotide ribosomal RNA is filed under the name uncultured bacterium. RNAcentral describes it as "partial 16S ribosomal RNA". It matches the Rfam family "Bacterial small subunit ribosomal RNA", at positions 28 to 507 of the family's 1533-position model. The record is from RNAcentral.